RNAcentral lists this ribosomal RNA (253 nucleotides) under uncultured bacterium. Its description in RNAcentral is "partial 16S ribosomal RNA". It matches the Rfam family "Bacterial small subunit ribosomal RNA", at positions 524 to 776 of the family's 1533-position model. The record is from RNAcentral.
UACGUAGGUGGCGAGCGUUGUCCGGAUUUACUGGGCGUAAAAGGAGCGUAGGCGGACUUUUAAGUGAGAUGUGAAAUACUCGGGCUCAACUUGAGUGCUGCAUUUCAAACUGGAAGUCUAGAGUGCAGGAGAGGAGAAUGGAAUUCCUAGUGUAGCGGUGAAAUGCGUAGAGAUUAGGAAGAACACCAGUGGCGAAGGCGAUUCUCUGGACUGUAACUGACGCUGAGGCUCGAAAGCGUGGGGAGCAAACAGG